UACAGAGGUCUCAAGCGUUGUUCGGAUUCAUUGGGCGUAAAGGGUGCGUAGGUGGCGAGGCAAGUCUGGUGUGAAAUCCCGGGGCUCAACCCCGGAACUGCACUGGAUACUACUUUGCUAGAGUACUGGAGAGGAGAUUGGAAUUUACGGUGUAGCAGUGAAAUGCGUAGAUAUCGUAAGGAAGACCAGUGGCGAAGGCGAAUCUCUGGACAGUUACUGACACUGAGGCACGAAGGCCAGGGGAGCAAACGGG
RNAcentral lists this ribosomal RNA (253 nucleotides) under uncultured bacterium. RNAcentral describes it as "partial 16S ribosomal RNA". It matches the Rfam family "Bacterial small subunit ribosomal RNA", at positions 524 to 776 of the family's 1533-position model. The record is from RNAcentral.